CUAUUCAAAUGCUCCAUUAUCGUUUUUGGUUCUUAUAUAUAUAUAUUAUAUAUUAUUAUGUAUAUUUUUUUAUUUCACCUUUAUUUAACCAGGUAGGCCAGUUGAGAACAAGUUCUCAUUUACAACUGCGACCUGGCCAAGAUAAAGCAAAACAGUGCGACACAAACAACAACACGGAGUUACACAUGGAAUAAACAAACGUACAGUCAAUAACACAAUAGAAAAGUCUAUAUACAGUGUGUGCAAAUUAAGUAAGAUUAGGGAGGUAAGGCAAUAAAUAGGCCAUAGUUGCGAAAUAAAUGACAAUUUAGCAAUUAAACACUGGAGUGAUAGAUGUGCAGAAGAUGAAUGUGCAAGUAGAGAUUCUGGGGUGUAAAGGAGCAAAAAAAACAAAAACAAUAUGGGGAUGAGGUAGUUGGGUGGGCUAUUCACAGAUGGGCUAUGUACAGGUGCAAUGGUCUGUAAGCUGCUCUGACAGCUGAUGCUUAAAGUUAGUGAGGGGGAUAUGAGUCUCCAGCUUCAGUGAUUUUUGCAGUUUGUUCCAGUCAUUGGCAGCAGAUAACUGGAAGGAAAGGAGGCCAAAGUAGUGAGUGAGCUGAGAUAAGGUGGGGCUUUACCUAGCAAAGACUUAUAGAUGAGCUGGAGCCAGUGGGAUUAGCGACGAAUAUGAAGAGAGGCCAAGCCAAUGAGAGCAUACAGGUAGCAGUGGUGGGUAGUAAAUGGGGCUUUGGUGACAAAACGAAUGGCACUGUGAUAGACUGCAUCCAAUUUGCUGAGUAGAGUGUUGGAGGCUAUUUUGUAAAUUAGGUCGCCAAAGUCAAGGAUUGGUAGGAUAGUCUGUUUUACGAGGGUAUGUUUGGCAGAAUGAGUGAAGGAUGCUUUGUUGCGAUAUAGGAAGCCCAUUCUAGAUUUAAUUUUGGAGAUGCUUAAUGUGAGUCUGGAAGGAGAGUUUACAGUCUAACCAGACACGUAGGUAUUUGUAGUUGUCCACAUAUUGUAAGUCAGAACCAUCCAGAGUAGUGAUGCUAGACGGGCAGGCAGGUGCGGGCAGCGAUCGGUUGAAGAGCAUUUAGUUUUACUUGCAUUUAAGAGCAGUUGGAGGCCACGGAACGAGAGUUGUGUGGCAUUGAAACUCGUCUGGAGGGUAGUUAACACAGUGUCCAAAGAAGGGCCAGAUAUAUACAAAAUGGUGUCGUCUGCAUAGAGGUGGAUCAGAGAAUCACCAGCGACAAGAGCGGCAUCAUUGACGUAUACAGAGAAAAGAGUCGGCCAGAGAAUUGAACCCUGUGGCAUCCCCAUAGAGACUGCCAGAGGUCCGGACAACAGGCCCUCCGAUUUGACACACUGAACUCUGUCUGAGAAGUAUUUGGUGAACCAGGCGAGGCAGUCAUUUGAGAAACCAAGGCUGUUGAGUCUGCCGAUAAGAAUGCUGUGAUUGACAGAGUCAAAAGCCUUGGCCAGGUCGAUGAAUACGGCUGCACAAUAUUGUCUUUUAUCGAUGGCAGUUAUGAUGUCGUUUAGGACCUUGAGCGUGGCUGAGGUGCACCCAUGACCUGCUCAGAAACCAGAAUGCAUAGCGGAGAAGGUACGGUGGGAUUCGAAAUGGUCGGUGAUCUGUUUGUUAAUUUGGCUUUCGAAUACCUUAGAAAUGCAGGGUAGGGUAGAUAUGGGUCUGUAACAGUUUUGGUCUAGGGUGUCACCCCCUUUAAAGAGGGGGAUGACCGCGGCAACUUUCCAAUCUUUGGGAAUCUCAGACGAUACAAAAGAGAGGUUGAACAGGCUGGUAAUAGGGGUUGCAACAAUUGCGGCGGAUAAUUUUAGAGAGGGUCCAGAUUGUCUAUCCCAGCUGAUUUGUAGGGGUCCAGAUUUUGCAGCUCUUUCAGAACAUCAGCUAUCUAGAUUUGGGUGAAGGAGAAAUGGGGGAGGCUUGGGCAAGUUGCUGUGGGGGGUGCAGAGCUGUUGACCGGGGUAGGGGUAGCCAGGUGGAAAACAUGGCCAGCCGUAGAAAAAUGCUUAUUGAAAUUCUCAAUUAUCGUAGAUUUAUCAGUGGUGACAGUAUUUCCUAGCCUCAGAGCAGUGGGCAGCUGGGAGGAGGUGCUCUUAUUCUCCAUGGAUUUUAAAGUGUCCCAGAACUUUUUGGAGUUUGUGCUAAUUUCGGCAAAUUUCUGUUUGAAUAAGCUAGUCUUUACUUUCCUAACUGCCUGUGUAUAUUGGUUCCAAACUUCCCUGAAAAGUUGCAUAUCGCAGGGGCUAUUUGAUGCUAAUGCAGAACACCACAGGAUGUUUUUGUGCUGGUCAAGGGCAGUCAGGUAUUGAGUGAACCAAGGGCUAUAUCUGUUCCUGGUUAAAAAAAUUUUAGUGGGGCAUGCUUAUUUAAGAUGGUGAGGAAAGCACUUUUAAAGAAUAACCAGGCAUCCUCUACUGACGGAAUGAGGUCAAUAUCCUUCCAGGAUACCCGGGCCAGGUCGAUUAGAAAGGCCUGCUCGCUGAAGUGUUUUAGGGAGCGUUUGACAGUGAUGAGGGGUGGUCAUUUGAUGCAUUACGGACGCAGGCAAUGAGGCAGUGAUCACUGAGAUCAUGGUUGUAGACAGCAGAUGUGUAUUUAAAGGGCAGGUUGGUCAGGAUGAUAUCUAUGAGGGUGCCCGUGUUUACGGAUUUGGGGUUGUACCUGGUAGGUUCCAUGAUAAUUUGGGAGACAUUGAGGGCAUCUAGCUUAGUUUGUAGGACGGCCGGAGUGUUAAGCAUGUCCCAGUUUAGGUCACCCAACAGUGCAAACUCUGAAGAUAAACGGGGGGCAAUUAAUUCACAUAUGAUGUCCAGGGCACAGAUGGGGGCCGAGGGGGGUCUGUAACAAACGGCAACAGUGAGAGACUUAUUUCUGGAAAGGUUUCUUUUUAAAAGUAGAAGCUCGAACUGUUUGGGCACAGAGCUGGAUAGCGUGACAGAACUCUGCAGGCUGUCUCUGCAGUAGAUUGCAACUCCACCCCCUUUGGCAGUUCUAUCUUGGCGGAGAAUGUUGUAGUUGGGGAUGGAAAUUUCUGAAUUUUUGGUGGCCUUCCUAAGCUGUUUUGGCAGUUCCUGUUUACUAUACAGUGUACAAUAAAGAAUAUUGACAGAAUUCAAUACACAAUCCGAUCUCAUACAAAACCAACCCAGCAUAGAACACUCAUCAAAUAUUUAUGAAUGUUUUAGUCAAUUUAAAAUGUGAAUAACAGUUAUUCUCGAUGACCACAACCAUCAGAAAUGUGUUGACUAAUCAGGUUAGCGUUCAAAAUAAUGGAAUUAUGACAUGCAUUGAAUCAAAUAAAAAUAGAAUCCUGCCUAACUCACACUUGUGGGAUUAUGACAGAAUUAAGGCCACAUAUCCAUAUCCCUAUGCCAUAAAUCAUAAGACAACCCUUCAUACCAUUGUCCAUCUUAUUCUAUAGCCUCUGUUGACCUACUCUUACAAUGUCCUAAAUGCUUGGUGACAAAAAAGUUUGGUGACAAAUGUUUCCCUAAUGGUUCAUCUCUUCCCAGGGUAUCUAAGGGCCACUUCCCAAUAUGGUUUAAGUCCAAAAUUCUCCUUAAGUGCUGUAGGAAAAAGGAACGACGGCAUUUGGCACGACAUCGACAAACUGUUGUUGUGCAAUUUACUUACAGAGAAAUCAAAUUUGUGCAAGAGAAGCCAUGCCCGUUUUUUGGCACAUCCCCAGAAAGCUGUCAGAAAGUUAAUGGCAGUCUUUUUAGUAGUAGUAACUAUCACUAUGGUGGAGUGAGUGAGUGAGUGAGUGAGUGAGUGAGUGAGUGAGUGAAGGGAAGAACGUGUGUAUGCAGUAAAAGAGAGAAAUCAAACAAGUCAGAAUAGAGACUUGACUGUGAACAAAAUCUCUACGUUUGAAUGAUCCGUUAUAGUCAGGAAUUUCUCAAAGAAAAAAAAUAUAAUAACAAGACAAGUAGGCCUACAAAACAAUGACAUGCAUUGUAAAUAAACUUGUGUAGAUCCUAUGAGCCCAGCCAAAAUAAUGAAAAAAUAUAGACCCAUUCUUGGAAACCAGAGCUGUGGCGGAAAGAAACCAUGCAUAAAUAUGCAGAGUAAAUCAGCCCAUUGCAACUUCUUCGAAACAGGCUUAGUGGCG
Molecule: long non-coding RNA, 4118 nt
Organism: Oncorhynchus tshawytscha (Chinook salmon)
Lineage: Eukaryota; Metazoa; Chordata; Actinopteri; Salmoniformes; Salmonidae
Source: Ensembl